RNAcentral lists this ribosomal RNA (429 nucleotides) under Acidobacteriota bacterium. RNAcentral describes it as "Acidobacteria bacterium partial 16S ribosomal RNA". It matches the Rfam family "Bacterial small subunit ribosomal RNA", at positions 355 to 776 of the family's 1533-position model. Lineage: Bacteria; Pseudomonadati; Acidobacteriota. The record is from RNAcentral.
UGGGGAAUUUUGGACAAUGGGGGAAACCCUGAUCCAGCCAUCCCGCGUGUGCGAUGAAGGCCUUCGGGUUGUAAAGCACUUUUGGCAGGAAAGAAACGUCAUGGGUUAAUACCCCGUGAAACUGACGGUACCUGCAGAAUAAGCACCGGCUAACUACGUGCCAGCAGCCGCGGUAAUACGUAGGGUGCAAGCGUUAAUCGGAAUUACUGGGCGUAAAGCGUGCGCAGGCGGUUCGGAAAGAAAGAUGUGAAAUCCCAGAGCUCAACUUUGGAACUGCAUUUUUAACUACCGGGCUAGAGUGUGUCAGAGGGAGGUGGAAUUCCGCGUGUAGCAGUGAAAUGCGUAGAUAUGCGGAGGAACACCGAUGGCGAAGGCAGCCUCAUGGGAUAACACUGACGCUAAUGCACGAAAGCGUGGGGAGCAAACAGG